AGAAGUCCAUACCGCGGCAGGAACUACCGGAGGUAUACCCCCUCUGCUAAACCUUGGUUCAUUGAGGUACUGCUAUAUAAAGACUAAUUGUUCAUUCUAUUUCGUUUCAUUAAACAGCCGAUCACCUAUCAGAAGAUCAAGGACUUGAAGACCUUUAGGAGACCGUCUUUCUCGACCACGAGUUGGUUUAGUUGCUACUCAAUGUAAAAAAAGGUCUCAUUGUUAGAUGCAGUUUCCCUCCCCCAUCUAUAUGAUAUAUUUGUAAACAUGAUCUUUGGAUUAUCUGACUAUAUUGUUAGCUAUGUUGUUACUUUCAAUUGCUCAGAAAUGAUGCUGAAAAUGGUUGCCCGAGUCUUUGGCUGUUAUGUACUCCGGAAUUCAGAGUCGAAAAGGGAUCAUUUUGAUGUUUCAAUUUUCAAUGAGCCAAUAAGUCGUUCAAUUUGUCAUGGAUGGUUAGUACUUGUGGCCUCAACUAGCCAACAAUAGCUUCAUCGAGUGAAAUUCACAGACGCUCUAUGUCUCGAUUUGGUUUGAUUUCUGGUUUUUACUCAGCCUGACACUCUCUUCCCGACUGGCUAACUUGUGAAACGUCCGUUUAUGAGCUCAAGUAUGACAAUGCCCCAUCGAUCAAACCGACUUCAACAAUAUUAUGGCUGUCCAAUCUCGAAACUCAUUUAUAUCUUACGAACUUGCUGAGUGGUUUCCGAUAUUCGUAGUUUCAACUAGUCCACAUGUUCAUCCACUUUGUCAAUUAGGGUGAUGAUUCAAUGAUCAAACCAAUAUUAAUCAUCAAAAACAACAUUGCGUAGAUCAUAUGACUAGCAGCUUACACAAUUGACAAUUCAGUUGAAUAAUACAGACGGAAGAAUAUCAGAGGGAAGACCUGCGGAGCUCGAAAUCAAUGGCCUUCUCAAGCCAAGCUUCGGCGUCACGCAUCAUCCCAGGGCUCAACCUAACCAUCAGAAUACAGAAUUCCGUCUCGUUAAGCGCGCCGUCGCCGUCGAGAUCCCCUUCUUUGACCAUAGCCUCCGCGUCUUCCUUAGUCAUCCCUUCCAUCCCUAGGAACCCUGAGUUCCUCCUCAGACUCUCCGGCGUAAUCGCCGCCUGUUCCCCGUCGGACAGCAGCUGGAAUCCGCC
This 1137-nucleotide long non-coding RNA is filed under the name Linum usitatissimum (flax). RNAcentral's name for it is "long non-coding RNA (LUSI_LNC002210)". The record is from RNAcentral. Lineage: Eukaryota; Viridiplantae; Streptophyta; Magnoliopsida; Malpighiales; Linaceae.